UUGGAAUCGCUCCGGCGAGUUGUAGUCUGGAGGCGGCCGGUCCGCCUUGCGCAACCAAAUCUAAGUCCUCUGGAACGAGGCGCUUGAAAGGGUGACAGCCCCGUGGAUUUUUGUUGUUGUGCUUGGCCCCUGGUCUGCCGACGAGUCGAGUUGUUUGGGAAUGCAGCUCUAAGUGGGUGGUAAAUUCCAUCUAAAGCUAAAUACCGGCGAGAGACCGAUAGCGAACAAGUACAGUAAUGGAAAGAUGAAAAGCACUUUGAAAAGAGAGUGAAACAGUACGUGAAAUUGUUGAAAGGGAA
This 299-nucleotide ribosomal RNA is filed under the name Candidozyma haemuli. RNAcentral's name for it is "[Candida] haemulonis partial 26S ribosomal RNA". It matches the Rfam family "Eukaryotic large subunit ribosomal RNA", at positions 124 to 418 of the family's 3401-position model. Lineage: Eukaryota; Fungi; Ascomycota; Pichiomycetes; Serinales; Metschnikowiaceae. The record is from RNAcentral.